Molecule: ribosomal RNA, 253 nt
Filed under: uncultured bacterium
Lineage: Bacteria
Description: partial 16S ribosomal RNA
Rfam family: Bacterial small subunit ribosomal RNA
Source: RNAcentral
AACGUAGGAGACAAACGUUAUCCGGAGUUACUGGGCGUAAAGGGCGUGUAGGUGGUUUUGUAAGUCUGGCGUGAAAUUUUUCGGCUUAACCGGGAAAGGUCGUCGGAUACUGCAAGGCUAGAGGACGGUAGAGGCGUGUGGAAUUCCUGGUGUAGCGGUGAAAUGCGUAGAUAUCAGGAGGAACACCGGUGGUGUAGACGGCUUUCUGGACCGUAACUGACGCUGAGACACGAAAGCGUGGGUAGCAAACAGG